Molecule: ribosomal RNA, 429 nt
Filed under: Acidobacteriota bacterium
Lineage: Bacteria; Pseudomonadati; Acidobacteriota
Description: Acidobacteria bacterium partial 16S ribosomal RNA
Rfam family: Bacterial small subunit ribosomal RNA
Source: RNAcentral
UGGGGAAUUUUGGACAAUGGGGGAAACCCUGAUCCAGCCAUCCCGCGUGUGCGAUGAAGGCCUUCGGGUUGUAAAGCACUUUUGGCAGGAAAGAAACGUCAUGGGUUAAUACCCCGUGAAACUGACGGUACCUGCAGAAUAAGCACCGGCUAACUACGUGCCAGCAGCCGCGGUAAUACGUAGGGUGCAAGCGUUAAUCGGAAUUACUGGGCGUAAAGCGUGCGCAUGCGGUUCGGAAAGAAAGGUGUGAAAUCCCAGAGCUCAACUUUGGAACUGCAUUAUUAACUACCGGGCUAGAGUGUGUCAGAGGGAGGGGGAAUUCCGAGUGUAGCAGUGAAAUGCGUAGAUAUGCGGAGGAACACCGAUGGGGAAGGCAGCCUCCUAGGGUAACACUGACGCUCAUGCACGAAAGCGUGGGGAGCAAACAGG